Long non-coding RNA from Maylandia zebra (zebra mbuna), 734 nucleotides. RefSeq lists it as uncharacterized. The record is from RefSeq and is a predicted model, not a curated record. Lineage: Eukaryota; Metazoa; Chordata; Actinopteri; Cichliformes; Cichlidae.
UGCUAGGGCCGUAACAACAUCAUAGAGACCACUAGUACUUGUUUCUUUCAAUGGCUGCUUCAAUUUCAGGUGGAGCCUCUAAACCGCAGGAGUUGGAGGCCAGUGAUGUAGUAGCGGCACAAGAUCCCAUCAACAGGUUAGCACAAAGUGUUCUGCACACCUCAUACCGCAGUGCAGCAAAAGCAGCCUCAUGAGCGCUGGGAAGGACAAGCCCAGACCCCAGGAGAUGGCUAAAACUCCAUCUUGGGCCCGCCUCAGAAGACGGAUAAACCAAGCAUUUCAUGAACACUGUGAUGGAGACCAUUGCUUUGUGUAUUGUUAGAAGUACUCAGAUAAUCCCAGAAGGCUCUAGACUUUUACCUAAAGAUAUUAUAUUCAGUCCUGAAGAAAGUUAAAUAUUUAAAUAUAUAUUAUGCUCUCUCUGGUAUUAAUGACUCCGGAUUACUUUAUGGUAAAUAACACACUAUUGGCAAAAACAGUAAAAGAAUUCCAGAUCAGAAGCUUUUAGUUCAACAUACAUGAUAUAUGGUGACACAGUUACAUGGGUGAUUAAUCCUUUUGACUUUUUGUCUUUAACUUUAUCUACAAACAGCUGCAGCUUUUACUGACAGCACAUCAUGUGGUACUAUAACCGUUGUACUCUUUUGAUCAGUUUUGGAGUUGCUACAAAGAAUGAAGAUAUAGGAUGAUUUGUCUGUUGCCACUGGGUGAUGCUGAGGUCUCAAUCUAAGGGC